GAUGAAGAACGUAGCGAAAUGCGAUACGUAGUGUGAAUUGCAGAAUUCAGUGAACCAUCGAAUCUUUGAACGCACAUUGCGCCCGGCAGUAAUCUGCCGGGCAUGCCUGUCCGAGCGUCAUUUCUGCCCUCGAGCGAGUCCAGCAUCUAGGUGCUGGGCCCGCCCGGCGUUGGGGCACUACGGGAAGCCCUGUGCUGUCCCCCGUAGGCCCCGAAAUGAAGUGGCGGUCCUGCCGCGGCGCCCCCUGCGUAGUAUAACAGCUCGCUUCGGGACCCGGUGGAGGCCUGCCGUCAAACCUUACUCUCUAAGUUUGACCUCGGAUCAGGUAGGGUUACCCGCUGAACUUAAGCAUAUCAAUAAGCGGAGGA
RNAcentral lists this unclassified non-coding RNA (368 nucleotides) under soil metagenome. RNAcentral's name for it is "partial contains 5.8S ribosomal RNA, internal transcribed spacer 2, and large subunit ribosomal RNA". The stretch from base 1 to 120 matches the Rfam family "5.8S ribosomal RNA", at positions 35 to 154 of the family's 154-position model. The record is from RNAcentral.